Molecule: ribosomal RNA, 2774 nt
Filed under: Escherichia coli
Lineage: Bacteria; Pseudomonadati; Pseudomonadota; Gammaproteobacteria; Enterobacterales; Enterobacteriaceae
Description: bacterial LSU rRNA
Rfam family: Bacterial large subunit ribosomal RNA
Source: RNAcentral
AGCGUACACGGUGGAUGCCCUGGCAGUCAGAGGCGAUGAAGGACGUGCUAAUCUGCGAUAAGCGUCGGUGAGGUGAUAUGAACCGUUAUAACCGGCGAUUUCCGAAUGGGGAAACCCAGUGUGAUUCGUCACACUAUCAUUAACUGAAUCCAUAGGUUAAUGAGGCGAACCGGGGGAACUGAAACAUCUAAGUACCCCGAGGAAAAGAAAUCAACCGAGAUUCCCCCAGUAGCGGCGAGCGAACGGGGAGGAGCCCAGAGCCUGAAUCAGUGUGUGUGUUAGUGGAAGCGUCUGGAAAGGCGCGCGAUACAGGGUGACAGCCCCGUACACAAAAAUGCACAUACUGUGAGCUCGAUGAGUAGGGCGGGACACGUGGUAUCCUGUCUGAAUAUGGGGGGACCAUCCUCCAAGGCUAAAUACUCCUGACUGACCGAUAGUGAACCAGUACCGUGAGGGAAAGGCGAAAAGAACCCCGGCGAGGGGAGUGAAAAAGAACCUGAAACCGUGUACGUACAAGCAGUGGGAGCCUCUUAAUGGGGUGACUGCGUACCUUUUGUAUAAUGGGUCAGCGACUUAUAUUCUGUAGCAAGGUUAACCGAAUAGGGGAGCCGAAGGGAAACCGAGUCUUAACUGGGCGUUAAGUUGCAGGGUAUAGACCCGAAACCCGGUGAUCUAGCCAUGGGCAGGUUGAAGGUUGGGUAACACUAACUGGAGGACCGAACCGACUAAUGUUGAAAAAUUAGCGGAUGACUUGUGGCUGGGGGUGAAAGGCCAAUCAAACCGGGAGAUAGCUGGUUCUCCCCGAAAGCUAUUUAGGUAGCGCCUCGUGAAUUCAUCUCCGGGGGUAGAGCACUGUUUCGGCAAGGGGGUCAUCCCGACUUACCAACCCGAUGCAAACUGCGAAUACCGGAGAAUGUUAUCACGGGAGACACACGGCGGGUGCUAACGUCCGUCGUGAAGAGGGAAACAACCCAGACCGCCAGCUAAGGUCCCAAAGUCAUGGUUAAGUGGGAAACGAUGUGGGAAGGCCCAGACAGCCAGGAUGUUGGCUUAGAAGCAGCCAUCAUUUAAAGAAAGCGUAAUAGCUCACUGGUCGAGUCGGCCUGCGCGGAAGAUGUAACGGGGCUAAACCAUGCACCGAAGCUGCGGCAGCGACGCUUAUGCGUUGUUGGGUAGGGGAGCGUUCUGUAAGCCUGUGAAGGUGGCCUGUGAGGGUUGCUGGAGGUAUCAGAAGUGCGAAUGCUGACAUAAGUAACGAUAAAGCGGGUGAAAAGCCCGCUCGCCGGAAGACCAAGGGUUCCUGUCCAACGUUAAUCGGGGCAGGGUGAGUCGACCCCUAAGGCGAGGCCGAAAGGCGUAGUCGAUGGGAAACAGGUUAAUAUUCCUGUACUUGGUGUUACUGCGAAGGGGGGACGGAGAAGGCUAUGUUGGCCGGGCGACGGUUGUCCCGGUUUAAGCGUGUAGGCUGGUUUUCCAGGCAAAUCCGGAAAAUCAAGGCUGAGGCGUGAUGACGAGGCACUACGGUGCUGAAGCAACAAAUGCCCUGCUUCCAGGAAAAGCCUCUAAGCAUCAGGUAACAUCAAAUCGUACCCCAAACCGACACAGGUGGUCAGGUAGAGAAUACCAAGGCGCUUGAGAGAACUCGGGUGAAGGAACUAGGCAAAAUGGUGCCGUAACUUCGGGAGAAGGCACGCUGAUAUGUAGGUGAAGCGACUUGCUCGUGGAGCUGAAAUCAGUCGAAGAUACCAGCUGGCUGCAACUGUUUAUUAAAAACACAGCACUGUGCAAACACGAAAGUGGACGUAUACGGUGUGACGCCUGCCCGGUGCCGGAAGGUUAAUUGAUGGGGUUAGCGGCAACGCGAAGCUCUUGAUCGAAGCCCCGGUAAACGGCGGCCGUAACUAUAACGGUCCUAAGGUAGCGAAAUUCCUUGUCGGGUAAGUUCCGACCUGCACGAAUGGCGUAAUGAUGGCCAGGCUGUCUCCACCCGAGACUCAGUGAAAUUGAACUCGCUGUGAAGAUGCAGUGUACCCGCGGCAAGACGGAAAGACCCCGUGAACCUUUACUAUAGCUUGACACUGAACAUUGAGCCUUGAUGUGUAGGAUAGGUGGGAGGCUUUGAAGUGUGGACGCCAGUCUGCAUGGAGCCGACCUUGAAAUACCACCCUUUAAUGUUUGAUGUUCUAACGUGGGCCCCUUACCGGGGUUGCGGACAGUGUCUGGUGGGUAGUUUGACUGGGGCGGUCUCCUCCUAAAGAGUAACGGAGGAGCACGAAGGUUGGCUAAUCCUGGUCGGACAUCAGGAGGUUAGUGCAAUGGCAUAAGCCAGCUUGACUGCGAGCGUGACGGCGCGAGCAGGUGCGAAAGCAGGUCAUAGUGAUCCGGUGGUUCUGAAUGGAAGGGCCAUCGCUCAACGGAUAAAAGGUACUCCGGGGAUAACAGGCUGAUACCGCCCAAGAGUUCAUAUCGACGGCGGUGUUUGGCACCUCGAUGUCGGCUCAUCACAUCCUGGGGCUGAAGUAGGUCCCAAGGGUAUGGCUGUUCGCCAUUUAAAGUGGUACGCGAGCUGGGUUUAGAACGUCGUGAGACAGUUCGGUCCCUAUCUGCCGUGGGCGCUGGAGAACUGAGGGGGGCUGCUCCUAGUACGAGAGGACCGGAGUGGACGCAUCACUGGUGUUCGGGUUGUCAUGCCAAUGGCACUGCCCGGUAGCUAAAUGCGGAAGAGAUAAGUGCUGAAAGCAUCUAAGCACGAAACUUGCCCCGAGAUGAGUUCU